AACGUAGGAGACGAACGUUAUCCGGAGUUACUGGGCGUAAAGGGCGUGUAGGCGGUCUGUUAAGUCUGGCGUGAAAGCUCUCGGCUAAACCGGGAGAGGUCGUUGGAUACUGGCAUGACUGGAGGAUGGUAGAGGCGUGUGGAAUUCCGGGUGUAGUGGUGAAAUGCGUAGAGAUCCGGAGGAACACCAGUGGCGAAGGCGACACGCUGGGCCAUACCUGACGCUAAAGCGCGACAGCAUGGGGAGCAAACGGG
RNAcentral lists this ribosomal RNA (254 nucleotides) under uncultured bacterium. RNAcentral's name for it is "partial 16S ribosomal RNA". It matches the Rfam family "Bacterial small subunit ribosomal RNA", at positions 524 to 776 of the family's 1533-position model. The record is from RNAcentral.